This 464-nucleotide ribosomal RNA is filed under the name uncultured bacterium. RNAcentral's name for it is "partial 16S ribosomal RNA". It matches the Rfam family "Bacterial small subunit ribosomal RNA", at positions 28 to 507 of the family's 1533-position model. The record is from RNAcentral.
GACGAACGCUGGCGGCGUGCUUAACACAUGCAAGUCGUACGGUAAGGCCCUUUCGGGGGUACACGAGUGGCGAACGGGUGAGUAACACGUGAGUAACCUGCCCACAACUUUGGGAUAACGCUAGGAAACUGGUGCUAAUACUGGAUAUGUGCUCCUGCUGCAUGGUGGGGGUUGGAAAGCUCCGGCGGUUGUGGAUGGACUCGCGGCCUAUCAGCUUGUUGGUGGGGUAGUGGCCUACCAAGGCGGCGACGGGUAGCCGGCCUGAGAGGGUGACCGGCCACAUUGGGACUGAGAUACGGCCCAGACUCCUACGGGAGGCAGCAGUGGGGAAUAUUGCACAAUGGGCGGAAGCCUGAUGCAGCAACGCCGCGUGCGGGAUGACGGCCUUCGGGUUGUAAACCGCUUUCGCCUGUGACGAAGCAUGAGUGACGGUAAUGGGUAAAGAAGCACCGGCUAACUACGUG